AAAGAGAAGGGAAACAGAGAGUGACGCCAGACCACGGUCUUGCACUGUCUGAACACGGUUAGCUCUGCACUCCACGCACUUUGCAAUGGGUCUCCUUAAGUGGGUGAUUGCACUCUGCCUCCUCGGUGUGAUGGCAACCUCUUCUUAUGCGUCCGACAUCGAAGAUACGCUGAGGAAGGGCGCAGAUAUUGUGGGAAAGGGUAAAGAUUUCCUUUCGUCACUAAAGGACUGAGACACUCUUUAACCUGAAUACGAUGGAUUCGUAUUCUCAUGACACAUAUACGGUUUCCUCAUUGCUGGAUCAUGCUAUGUUGGCCUCAUGAAAUUAGUGCUGAUGAAUGAAUGUCUUCGGCUGAAGUAAAUAUCAACAUAUCAACAUAUAAA
This 384-nucleotide long non-coding RNA is filed under the name Penaeus japonicus. RNAcentral's name for it is "uncharacterized LOC122257356". Lineage: Eukaryota; Metazoa; Arthropoda; Malacostraca; Decapoda; Penaeidae. The record is from RNAcentral.